UAGUAUAUUUUUCUCCGAGCGAAAAUAUCUAAGGAAUUGAUCUAUGAUAUUGAGCCAAGCAUAAAUUGCUUCUGGGUUAGAAAGGAAACUGACUAGCCUUCCGUAUUUGAAAAGGUGAUAUAAAUAUAUUUAC
The sequence is a regulatory RNA element, 133 nucleotides long. It matches the Rfam family "Molybdenum/Tungsten riboswitch aptamer (Moco RNA motif)". The record is from Rfam.